Molecule: non-coding RNA, 28 nt
Filed under: Bombyx mori (domestic silkworm)
Lineage: Eukaryota; Metazoa; Arthropoda; Insecta; Lepidoptera; Bombycidae
Source: RNAcentral
UCGGUAAUGAGCUCUUGUGGGCGGAAGA